Molecule: long non-coding RNA, 765 nt
Organism: Hypanus sabinus (Atlantic stingray)
Lineage: Eukaryota; Metazoa; Chordata; Chondrichthyes; Myliobatiformes; Dasyatidae
Exons: 3
Source: RefSeq, a predicted model, not a curated record
GUUUUCUUGGCACAAGACGACCUGCUCCAGUGCAGUGUGUGGUCAGGAUCUCAUGUACAGAAUGUGGGCUAUCCUGAGAAGAUUUUCAAUUUUUAAAAAAUCCCAUGCCAAGGCUCUGAAAUAUCACACAGCUGCCAGUGACCUUGCUUGCAAGGAGGAGAGUCCACAGAAUCCCAAGUAAAGGAAGCUUCUUUGAGAUGCCAAAAUUAGAGCGAGUCAAGACACUUCUGAGCACAAUACAAGCUCUACCUAUGUAUUUUCCAGUUCCUCUGCAAUCUAUUCUCCAUCAGCUACUGCAAGUUUCCUCCAGCCACUUAUAAAUCUGAGGUGCUUUAUAGCGACCAAGUCACCUACAUUUCUUUGGAAUGUCGCAGGAAACAAUUACAUUCCGAGGAAAUCCAUAUGUGUACAAGAAGAACAUGCAGAUAGUAAUCUACGUUCAGGAACAAACCUGGAUUACUGGCACAAUGAAGCCACAGCAUUGCUAACCUGUGCUAACCAUAGCUAACCUGUGUUUCAGGGAUAAAUCUUGUUCAUGAUAUUGCUUUGUACUUCAUUGCUCCAGAAAAGUCUUAUUAAUCCUUUUACAAUCAUCUGAAUGCAUAAACAGAGCCUCAGUUUAAACUCUAGCAUCAAAGCUCUUCUUGAAGGGAUUAGCUAUAUUUAUCAGAAUCAGAAUCAGGUUUAAUGCUUUGGCAUUUGCUGUGAAAUUUGUUGUUUUGUGACAGGAGUACAUUGCAAUACAUAAUAAUAAAAACUAUAAAU